RNAcentral lists this ribosomal RNA (2026 nucleotides) under human oral metagenome. RNAcentral describes it as "bacterial LSU rRNA". It matches the Rfam family "Bacterial large subunit ribosomal RNA", at positions 1 to 2008 of the family's 2925-position model. The record is from RNAcentral.
AGAAGAUGGUAAGGGCAAACGGUGGAUGCCUUGGCACAAGAAGCCGAUGAAGGACGUGAUAAGCUGCGAUAAGCCACGGUAAGGAGCACAUAUCCUGUGACCCGUGGAUUUCCGAAUGGGUAAACCCACCAAGAGUCAUUUCUUGGUACUUCCUGCUGAAUAUAUAGGCAGGAUAGAGGUAACCGGGGGAACUGAAACAUCUAAGUACCCCGAGGAAGAGAAAUCAAACGAGAUUCCCCUAGUAGUGGCGAGCGAACGGGGAUAUAGGACAAACCGUCAGUUGCGCAAGCGCUGGCGGGGGUGUAGGAACAUUCAUUGUGGAGUUACAAAACUUCGUGGAAGCAGAAUAGCUUGGAAAAGCUGGCGAGACAGGGUAAAAGCCCCGUACGCGAAUCUGCGAAGACUCCCGAGUGGCACCUGAGUACUGCCGGACACGUGAAACCCGGUGGGAACCUGGGGGGUCCACCCUCCAAUCCUAAAUACUCUCUUGUGACCGAUAGUGAACCAGUACCGUGAGGGAAAGGUGAAAAGCACCCCUAGCGGGGAGUGAAAUAGUACCUGAAACCGUUUGCCUACAAGCAGUCGGAGCAGACUUUUGUCUGUGACGGCGUGCCUUUUGUAGAAUGAGCCAGCGAGUUACGGCAUGUGGCAAGGUUAAGCUAAAAAGCGAGCCGCAGCGAAAGCGAGUCUGAAUAGGGCGAGUGAGUCGCAUACCGUAGACGCGAAGCCAGGUGAGCUAUCCAUGAGCAGGCUGAAGCGGGGGUAAGACCCCGUGGAGGGCCGAACCCACUUAGGUUGAAAACUGAGGGGAUGACUUGUGGAUAGGAGUGAAAGGCCUAUCAAACCUGGAGAUAUCUCGUUCUCUCCGAAAUAGCUUUAGGGCUAGCCUCGGAUGUUUACCAAUGGGGGUAGAGCACUGAAUAGUUGCGGGGGCUUCACCGCCUACCAAGAUUAAUCAAACUCCGAAUACCAUUGGUCUAGAAUCCGGGAGUCAGAAUAUGUGGGCUAAGCUGUGUAUUCGAAAGGGAAACAGCCCAGACCGCCCGCUAAGGUCCCAAAAUCAAUGCUAAGUGGCAAAGGAUGUGCGUUUGCUCAGACAACCAGGAUGUUGGCUUAGAAGCAGCCAUUCAUUUAAAGAGUGCGUAAUAGCUCACUGGUCGAGUGGACAUGCGCCGACAAUAUACGGGGCUAAGCAUUGUACCGAAGCGGCGGAUCAGUACUUUGUACUGGUGGUAGGAGAGCUUUCUGUACGGGUUGAAGCAGUUGGAUAACCAACUGUGGACUGUCCAGAAGUGAGAAUGCUGGCAUGAGUAACGAGAGACAUGUAAAAAACAUGUCCGCCGUAAACCCAAGGUUUCCUGGGCAAGGCUAAUCCUCCCAGGGUUAGGCGGGAGCUAAGGCAAGGCCGGAAGGCGUAGUCGAUGCACAACAGGUAGAAAUUCCUGUCCCUCCAAAAGAGCGUUAUCACCAAUGGGGUGACGGAGCAGGGUAGCUAGGCGGGGUUCUGGACGUCCCCGUGAUGGCACGUAGGCUGAGAAGUAGUGAAAUGCGCUUCUCAUGUGGCUGAGGUGUCGGACGAAGCAAUUGAGUGAAGCUAGUAAGCCCAUACUUCCAAGAAAAACCUCUAGGGAGCUCUGAGGAGCCCGUACCGCAAACCGACACAGGUGGGUGGGUAGAGCAUACCAAGGCGAUCGGGAGAACUAUGGUUAAGGAACUCGGCAAAAUUGCCCCGUAACUUCGGGAGAAGGGGUGCCGGUUUCGGUGAAGGGAUUUACUCCCCGAGCUAAGAUCGGUCACAGUAAAUAGGUCCAAGCGACUGUUUAUCAAAAACACAGGACUCUGCUGAAGUCGUAAGACGACGUAUAGGGUCUGACGCCUGCCCGGUGCCGGAAGGUCACGAGGAGUUGUUAGCAUUAGCGAAGCAGCGAAUCUAAGCCCCGGUAAACGGCGGCCGUAACUAUAACGGUCCUAAGGUAGCGAAAUUCCUUGUCGGGUAAGUUCCGACCUGCACGAAUGGUGUAAUGAU